AUUGAACGCUGGCGGCAUGCUUUACACAUGCAAGUCGAACGGUAACAGGUUAAGCUGACGAGUGGCGAACGGGUGAGUAAUGCAUCGGAACGUGCCCGAUCGUGGGGGAUAACGCAGCGAAACCUGCGCUAAUACCGCAUACGAUCUGAGGAUGAAAGCGGGGGACCGUAAGGCCUCGCGCGAUCGGAGCGGCCGAUGUCAGAUUAGGUAGUUGGUGGGGUAAAGGCUCACCAAGCCGACGAUCUGUAGCUGGUCUGAGAGGACGACCAGCCACACUGGGACUGAGACACGGCCCAGACUCCUACGGGAGGCAGCAGUGGGGAAUUUUGGACAAUGGGCGCAAGCCUGAUCCAGCAAUGCCGCGUGCAGGAAGAAGGCCUUCGGGUUGUAAACUGCUUUUGUACGGAGCGAAAAGGCUCUCUCUAAUACAGGGGGCUCAUGACGGUACCGUAAGGAUAAGCACCGGCUAACUACGUGCCAGCCGCCGCGGUAA
This 493-nucleotide ribosomal RNA is filed under the name uncultured bacterium. Its description in RNAcentral is "partial 16S ribosomal RNA". It matches the Rfam family "Bacterial small subunit ribosomal RNA", at positions 29 to 523 of the family's 1533-position model. The record is from RNAcentral.